Cyphomyrmex costatus is the source of this 1442-nucleotide long non-coding RNA. RefSeq lists it as uncharacterized. The transcript has 2 exons. The record is from RefSeq and is a predicted model, not a curated record. NCBI's taxonomy places the organism in Eukaryota, Metazoa, Arthropoda, Insecta, Hymenoptera, Formicidae.
CGGCGCGGGACCGUUUCUAGGCUAGCACACGUCCGACGGGGAGAAACGACGACGGGCGGCCGUCUGUUUUAUCUUGCGCGAACACGCUCGUGCACAUCGAGGAAGUGGCCACCACCGUCGUCGUCGUCAUCGCCAUCGCAGCCGCCGCCCUCCUCAUCUUCCUCGUUGCGUGAUCGGGAGUCCCGCGUUCCCGACUGGAGCGAGACUCGUUUGUUUCUGCGGCGAGGCUGCUUCCUACUCCGCAGGUGGUGCGUAACGAGGCGGCGGAAAAAAAAAAAAAAAAGGAGAGAGAUCGGGGAGAGACAGACGGAGAUAGAGGUGUGGGGUGAGGAGAGGGAAUGGAAAACGGCACGUUAUCGGCCGUUUCCGGGCCCUUUGUCGAUCGCCACGCCUUCGAGGUUGCGUUUGCGCCACGUUAUUUGCGCAACAGUUGGAAGCUGGAAUUUCGUCUCCCCGAAAAUCACCCCCGCACGCGGCCCAAGUAAGGAAGGGAGAGAAGCAUUCCCGACGAGCGCGAGCUGCAUUGCCUAUCCGUCGUCGUGGACGGAGAACCUAGGAACAGCUCUGGCUGGCUGGCUCGCACCACCACCACCACCACUUCUAGCAGCACCACCAGCCCCCCGUCGCCCUUUCGUUUUGCAAGAGGGCCGACCGUCGUCGACAGUCCGUGAAUCGUGCGCACACAUGGCCAAUUGCCGUACGUUACAUGCACUUAUACGGGGUGUACCCGAAGACGCGCGCUUCCUUAGUGGCUAAGAAGCGAAACGGUUCCGUCAUUAUCAGGCUAACGCGCGCGGAAAAUUAACAAUCGUACAGUCGAUGGUUGUAAAGUCAAAUUUGAGAGAAUCGACGAUCAUAGAGUCGUUAGCUUUCGUCGUGGAGCAAGAUCGAGGUAGAUUAAGAAUCGGAGCAAUUAUGAUAAAAUCUGAAUUUCAAUCGGCGGAGCUCGUGUGAAAGAAUCGAAGCAGGUAGACGCGAAGGAAGCCCGCGCGGUUUCCGGAACAUCCCGUAUAACCGCGUCACAUAUCUGUAUCGUUUCAUAACGCUAAAUUUAACGACUGACCCGAUCAAUUAACGGGUCUCGGAGGCGCGCGGAGGCGUAGUUGCAUGUCGACGUUCGUUCUAUUUUCUUCAUCUAGCGCUUCUCAGAGCUAAAAGCGCUCUAUAUAGCGAGAUAAAAUUCCCGCGAGUUCUCUUUCCUGCGUGAAAAAAAUAUCGUAGGUAAAUCGAAAUUCAAUUUUGUCAACGAUCGUCCCACGCAACACGCCGCUUCGUGCCACGCACUUGGAAGUGCAUCCGACGCAUCCAUGCAGAGAUCCCACUUCACGCAUUGUUAAACGACGCCUUUUGCAAAAUUAUGCGAACUCUUCGGAAUCGAGGAAGUGAUCUGGCCUAUCAUUUAUUCAUCAAUAUACUUAUUCGACACAUUGCGACAAAAUUAA